RNAcentral lists this unclassified non-coding RNA (922 nucleotides) under Hevea brasiliensis (rubber tree). The record is from RNAcentral. Lineage: Eukaryota; Viridiplantae; Streptophyta; Magnoliopsida; Malpighiales; Euphorbiaceae.
GAAUCAAACACAAAUUGAUUUUCUCAAACCCAUAUAUUUGGAAGAAUAAAAGGUUAGAGUUAAGUAAAUUGAAAUUGAUGCAGCUUGCCAAUUCAUCUGUGCAGAAAGACUCCACUUUAAGUGCUCCACUUACAAUAACUAAAAUAUCCCCAACUGUUUUUUUUAUUUUCAUUGUAUCAAGGUCAAUACAGAGACUAGAAAUAUUGAUUUGCAAAAUUCUCAAUCUAAAUAUUGAGGAUGAUUGAUUUUCACAAGUGCUCUAGCCCUAUCUUACGCAAAUAAAUUUUUUUUAGGUUCUUGGAUGUCAUAUUUUCCUUUUUCAUUGUCUAGAACAUCAAAAUUCAUUUGGCAGGAAACUUCCAAUCUUUUCCAAGGAAAUUAUCAUCAUUAGUUGAAAGAAACAAUUUAGAGUUAAUUCUUGUCAUUCUAAGAGGGAUGUUAAAUGCACAAUAACAAUGAGCUCUAAGAUCUUUCAAGAGCAUUCUCAUGGUACAAAAAACUUCUGUGCCUUGAAAAGUCACACAGAUGCCACACUAACCUCAUCGAGUUCCAAAAUUGCAAGUGUAUUGAUUUGAGAAUCAACAAAUGCUCAAAAUUUACUAGCACAUAUUUAAACUAUACAAUUAUACUUUUGUAUGGUAAGAAAAAAUGCACUGGCUAAAGAAUUUGACCAAGCUUUCCAAACCUAAUCACAAUAUGGUAAUUCUACUUAGGCCUGGCCAUGGGCCAGUUCCAGUUUGGAACCAGAUCUGAAUUGGCAGUUCCGGUUCACUGGGGUAUGAACCUGAACUGGCCCCAAAGGUCCUGAUUCUGAUUCAAGUUCCGGUUUGGUCCGAUUCAAUCCGGUUUUAAUUAAACCCAACGAUACAUUUUUUUCAAACUUUUUUAUUAUUUUAAAUUUAAAAAAAAAAAAUAGUAUCCA